UCCGAUAUGGUGUAGUGGCUAACAUUAUCGCCUCUCACAGAAAAGUGUAUCGCGAUAGCCCGGGGUUCGAUUCCCCGUGUCGGAA
This is a non-coding RNA of Lentinula edodes (shiitake mushroom), 85 nucleotides long. Lineage: Eukaryota; Fungi; Basidiomycota; Agaricomycetes; Agaricales; Omphalotaceae. The record is from Rfam.